RNAcentral lists this ribosomal RNA (312 nucleotides) under uncultured bacterium. RNAcentral describes it as "bacterial SSU rRNA". It matches the Rfam family "Bacterial small subunit ribosomal RNA", at positions 207 to 507 of the family's 1533-position model. The record is from RNAcentral.
CCUUCGGGCCUGGCGCGAUUGGAUGAGCCCAUGUCGGAUUAGCUAGUUGGCGGGGUAAUGGCCCACCAAGGCGACGAUCCGUAGCUGGUCUGAGAGGAUGAUCAGCCACACUGGAACUGAGACACGGUCCAGACUCCUACGGGAGGCAGCAGUAGGGAAUAUUGGACAAUGGGCGCAAGCCUGAUCCAGCCAUGCCGCGUGAGUGAAGAAGGCCCUCGGGUUGUAAAGCUCUUUUGUCCGGAAAGAAAAGCGCCGGGUUAAUACCCUGGUGUCCUGACGGUACCGGAAGAAUAAGCACCGGCUAACUUCGUG